GUAUAUCAGAGCUCAUAAUCUGCCUGACCCUGUGGUUUUUUUUUUUUUUUUUUAAACAGGGAAAACACUCCCUUGGGGUCAAAUCAUGGGAGCCAGGUUAUCAGAGUUCUUUACUUAAUCGUCCUGUUCUUAGGUUGAAAAUCAAAAAUUGUAAUGCCAAAAUUUGUAAAGUACUGAUUUGUAUAGGCUACUACAUUCUUCAAUUGAUGGCUAGCAAAUCAAUUCAACCAAACUCUAGAACAUACUUGACUUUAGACUACUGCAUAGGACUAAUCUUGAGUACCCAACCAAAAAAAAAAAAUCAGAUGGAUAAUCAGGUAAGCAUUAUAUCUUUUCAUUAUUAACAGAAAAAAUCUUUGAGGAGCAUCAUUACCUGUAAUAAAUUUUACUGAUUUUUCUUUUAACUAAUUCCUCUCAUUUUCACAUUUCUUGUGCUUUUUUGUUAGGUAUUAGUGCUAAAAUACUCUAUAGACUUUAAGUAGGUGAACAUUUCAAACAGCUUCAUAAAAUUCAUAUAUAUCUAUAUUUUAAUUUGUAAUGUUUUAUGAAAGAGCAUGAUACACAUUCAUUUUAAACCCUUAAAAAAAUUCUGUUUCAGCCACCAUUAAACAAUAAGGCCAGAUCUCUUGGUUAGUGUGUAUGUCUUUGUGUGUAUGUUUCUUUUUUAUUUUUGGUAGCUAAUUUGUAGAAGUUCAGUUCUGUGGUAAGGCAAGAUGAUCUCUAUGCUUUUUAAGAGAAAAUCAUGAACUUAAUAGAAAUGCAAUAUUGAGUUAAAAAUCUUCUUAAAUAUUAUAUUAUCCAUUUUUCCUAAAGGAAGAAUUUAUUAUUUUAACUUUAAUAUAAGCAUGCAAUUUCAGAGCUGAUAGGAAUAUAAGAAGUAACUACCCUGAACUUCUUUGUCUGUGGAUAAGAAAAUAUGCUCAUAAGAGUCCGUGACAGACCAGGAAAAGAAUGUAGUUAUCUAAUUGCUAAACCAGGACUCUCCUUCAAAACUACGCAGCCAUGUCUGUUCCAGGUUCUGUGCAGACUAUAAACUUGUUCUCAUAAGCCAAAAUGUGCUGACCGAAUUCUCCAAGCACAUUAUCUGUGAUCUACCUUCCAAUAAUGCACAUACUUCUUUUUCAUAAUAAAAGUACUUUCAUUUACCUAUUAAAGUGAAGAUCAGGCAAAUUACCCAAAGUUGUAAAGCUAAUCUGAUACUUACGCGUUAAAUCACAAAAGAUAUUUUAUAAUUCUAAAAUAUUAGUUUUAUUUUCAAAUUCAAUUUAAAUGUAUGGACAAUUUCCCCUUCUCCUGGGGCUACAUAGCCAUAGUAAGAACUGUAAUCGCUUUCUCAUAAGUGAACAUUCACUAUGGACACUGUGAUGCAUAGCUUUGUGCACACUCUUCUGGUUUCCUUGUCCAGGUUUAUUUUUCAUGAUUGCCAGAGAGGGAAAGAAAAUAUAUUUUGUACUUUAAGGAGUUAAUGAAGUGCAGCUAAGAGAAGACAAAAAUAAAAGUUUAUACAGUACAGGAAGACUAAAUGAAUUUGUGGGCUUUAAGAGCAUUUUUAUAAAGGGCUUCAGGAUAUUUAAAUAUAUUUUAAUGUAUUUGAUUGCAUUUUGACUUUUGAGCCUCACCAUCAGCUAAAUCCCUUGUCAGCCUAUGACUCCAAUCCUGCAAUUGUUUCCCAAAAACUGAAGGAGUUCUAGACAAAUCAGUGUUAUUAUUCUGAAUCACCCUUUUUAAAAACAAUCCUUUGUUUUUUGUGCAUAUGAUAUUGUUAUGGGUUGAAUUGUGUCUCCCCAAAAAUAUAUGUUGAAGUCAUUAGCCCCAGAGCCUAAGAAUGUGACUUUAUUUGGAAAUAAGGUUUUUACAGAGACAAUCCAAGUUUAAGUCAUGAGGCUAGUCCCUAAUCCAAUAGGACUGAUGUCCUUAUAAAAAGAGAAAUUUGGGUCCAGAGAAGGAUAUGCACAGAGGGAAUGCAUAUCCUGUGAAAAGACAGAGACACAGGGAGAGCAUCAUUUGAAGAUGAAGGCAGGAAUUGGAGAACUUCAUCUACAAGGCCCCAAAGCUUGCCCGCAAACCUCCAGAGGCCAGGAGAGAGGCAUGGAACAGAUUCUUCGUCACAGCCCUCAGAAAAAAACUCAUCCUGUGGAAACCUUGACUUUGGACUUCCAGCCUCAAUAAGGGUCACUAAUCUACUCUUAUCUCAACUGUGACUUUGAAUAUGGUGAUGAAGAUAUGAACAGAUACCAGCUGACCAUUCAAAAGAAUAAAGAAGGGAUUCUGGAGCUCACACGGGAGAAUAAGACGUGGGUUAGACUCUUCCAUAGAAUCCAGUGCUGAAGGCCAUCUUGCCUGAAAAAAUCCUGUCAGAGCCUCCUACUCUAACUUAGAUUUUGCAGAAAAGACUGGACAGAGUUGUGGUGGUUUUGGGGACUAGAAAGACGGUCCUUGUUGAUCAUAGUAGGGUUUCCUGCAAGGGAUAUGCUACUAAAUCCAGAUUAAUGGGAGUGAACCAGAUGCUUUCGCAGAGGCAUUGAGGAAGAGAACAGGCUCUUCUACUGAGUUGCUAAGGAAAGAACAACUAAGAGGUGGAGUCUCUAGAUUUGCCCAUCUGCAUCUGUCUGAUCCACUCCACAGGAAGGCAAGAAAACAGGGGUCCCAGGAAUCUUCUGCCCUUCUGCCCAUGACUCUGCCUGCACCAGACGACACUUACUGGUGUUCACUCAAGCACAGUACAUGAGUGAAAUGUGAAAUUUGGUGCCGUGACUCGGAUCGGGGGACCUCCCUUGGGAGAUCAAUCUUCUGUCCUCCUACUCUUUGCUCUGUGACAAAGAUCCACCUGCAACCUCUGGUCCUCAGACUAACCAGCCCAAGGAACACCUCACCAAUUUUAAAUCGGGAACUCAAAAUAGGAUGGCCGGUGGCAGAAGCAAAGAGUUUGUCUGGCAAGGACACUUAGGACCAGAUGACAGCAGGGCUUAAAAAUACUUUAAAAUAUUUUCCAUUUGUCCAAAAGUGUUUUGAUUGGUUUGGUUUUAUAUUGCCAAGUGUAAAACCUACAAAUUAUUCCUUAUUAAUGCUUGAUAAAGUACCAGUUCCAAACGAAAUCUUCACCCAAGCUUUUUAACUAUUAUCUUUAUGAACUGCAACAUUCAGGCUUUGUUCAGCUCUUGCAAAUAAGGAUAUCAAUUUCAUUGGAAAUCAAUAAGUACCACCGACAAAGAAAGAGAAUAGGAGGAAAAAGGGAAGAAUGAAACAGAUUUCAGUGAUCCUCAAGCACAUUUGUGGGGUGUUUCUUCCUCACACUAAGAUGAAACAGAAACCAAGCAGGAACUGGAGGGGACACUGUUUCUUUCCAUUUGAAUUAAUUUUAAUUUUAAAGCCAAAUUUUAUGGA
This 3384-nucleotide long non-coding RNA is filed under the name Homo sapiens (human). Its description in RNAcentral is "HSALNT0336670". Lineage: Eukaryota; Metazoa; Chordata; Mammalia; Primates; Hominidae. The record is from RNAcentral.